Molecule: non-coding RNA, 30 nt
Filed under: Mus musculus (house mouse)
Lineage: Eukaryota; Metazoa; Chordata; Mammalia; Rodentia; Muridae
Source: RNAcentral
UGAGCUGAAGUUCCCCUGCGUAAAGAUGGU